Molecule: ribosomal RNA, 453 nt
Filed under: uncultured bacterium
Lineage: Bacteria
Description: bacterial SSU rRNA
Rfam family: Bacterial small subunit ribosomal RNA
Source: RNAcentral
GACGAACGCUGGCGGCGUGCCUAACACAUGCAAGUCGAACGGAACUGUUUUGAAAGAUUUCUUCGGAAUGAAUUUGAUUUAGUUUAGUGGCGGACGGGUGAGUAACGCGUGAGUAACCUGCCUUCAAGAGGGGGAUAACAUUCUGAAAAGAAUGCUAAUACCGCAUGACAUAUCGGAAUCACAUGAUUUUGAUAUCAAAGAUUUUAUCGCUUGAAGAUGGACUCGCGUCCGAUUAGUUAGUUGGUGAGGUAACGGCUCACCAAGACCGCGAUCGGUAGCCGGACUGAGAGGUUGAACGGCCACAUUGGGACUGAGACACGGCCCAGACUCCUACGGGAGGCAGCAGUGGGGGAUAUUGCGCAAUGGGGGCAACCCUGACGCAGCAACGCCGCGUGAAGGAUGAAGGUUUUCGGAUUGUAAACUUCUUUUAUUAAGGACGAAAAAUGACGGUAC